Molecule: long non-coding RNA, 663 nt
Filed under: Homo sapiens (human)
Lineage: Eukaryota; Metazoa; Chordata; Mammalia; Primates; Hominidae
Description: non-protein coding lnc-PCDH15-2:2
Source: RNAcentral
UCCUGGCUGAGGUGGCAGGCAUCUUGGAACCUGUAGGCCUGCAGGAGGAGGCAGAACUGCCAGCCAAGAUCCUGGUUGAGUUUGUGGUGGUAUGUACAAGAUGAGAGCGAGCCUUUCAGAAGCCAGGGUCUGGUCCUGGCUCCUCUUACUGAGAUACAGGGCAGCACUGGCAGAGAGCAGACUUAAGGAAACCUGUAAGGAGGACAGAAGGCAAUUGCAGCUAAGGAACAAUGGAAAGAGCUGAAGGCCACCUACAGGGAGCACGUAGAGGCCAUCAAAAUUGGCCUCACCAAGGCCCUGACUCAGAUGGAGGAAGCCCAGAGGAAACGGACACAACUCCGGGAAGCCUUUGAGCAGCUCCAGGCCAAGAAACAAAUGGCCAUGGAGAAACGCAGAGCAGUCCAGAACCAGUGGCAGCUACAACAGGAGAAGCAUCUGCAGCAUCUGGCGGAGGUUUCUGCAGAGGUGAGGGAGCGUAAGACAGGGACUCAGCAGGAGCUUGACAGGGUGUUUCAGAAACUUGGAAACCUGAAGCAGCAGGCAGAACAGGAGCGGGACAAGCUGCAGAGGUAUCAGACCUUCCUCCAGCUUCUGUAUACCCUGCAGGGUAAGCUGUUGUUCCCUGAGGCUGAGGCUGAGGCAGAGAAUCUUCCAGAUGAUAAA